GAUGAACGCUGGCGGCGUGCCUAAUACAUGCAAGUAGAACGCUGAAGGAGGAGCUUGCUCUUCUGGAUGAGUUGCGAACGGGUGAGUAACGCGUAGGUAACCUGCCUGGUAGCGGGGGAUAACUAUUGGAAACGAUAGCUAAUACCGCAUGACAACAGUUAUUGCAUGAUAACUGUUUAAAAGGGGCAACUGCUCCACUACCAGAUGGACCUGAGUUGUAUUAGCUAGUUGGUGAGGUAACGGCUCACCAACGCGACGAUACAUAGCCGACCUGAGAGGGUGAUCGGCCACACUGGGACUGAGACACGGCCCAGACUCCUACGGGAGGCAGCAGUAGGGAAUCUUCGGCAAUGGACGGAAGUCUGACCGAGCAACGCCGCGUGAGUGAAGAAGGUUUUCGGAUCGUAAAGCUCUGUUGUAAGAGAAGAACGAGUGUGAGAGUGGAAAGUUCACACUGUGACGGUAUCGUACCAGAAAGGGACGGCUAACUACGUG
RNAcentral lists this ribosomal RNA (495 nucleotides) under uncultured bacterium. RNAcentral describes it as "partial 16S ribosomal RNA". It matches the Rfam family "Bacterial small subunit ribosomal RNA", at positions 28 to 507 of the family's 1533-position model. The record is from RNAcentral.